AAAUAGACAAAAACCGGAUUUUUAUGUCAAACAUUUAGCCGUCUUAUAUAUAUAUUUUUUAUAAUUAGUAUUUUCAUUGUUGUUAGAUGAUAAAACAUAAUUAAUACUUUAUUCGUGACUUGUCUUUUUAAUUUUUUCAAAUAAGACGGACGGUUAAACGUUAGACACGGAGAUCUAGGGUU
Oryza barthii is the source of this 182-nucleotide non-coding RNA. Lineage: Eukaryota; Viridiplantae; Streptophyta; Magnoliopsida; Poales; Poaceae. The record is from Rfam.